GCCUGGGUGGCUCAGUGGGUUGAGCGUCUGACUUCCGCUCAGGUCAUGAUCUCAUAGCUUGUGAGUUUGAACCCCGCGUCAGGCU
RNAcentral lists this transfer RNA (85 nucleotides) under Felis catus (domestic cat). It matches the Rfam family "tRNA". From Rfam's summary of the family: Transfer RNA (tRNA) molecules are approximately 80 nucleotides in length. The record is from Rfam by way of RNAcentral. Lineage: Eukaryota; Metazoa; Chordata; Mammalia; Carnivora; Felidae.